This is a small nuclear RNA of Apodemus sylvaticus (European woodmouse), 103 nucleotides long. Lineage: Eukaryota; Metazoa; Chordata; Mammalia; Rodentia; Muridae. The record is from RefSeq and is a predicted model, not a curated record.
GUGCUGGCUUCAGCAGCACGUAGACUAAACCUGAACACAGAGAAGAUUAGCGUCCUCCCUGUGUAAGGAUGACCUGCAAAGUCGUGAGGCGUUCCACAUUUUU